Gallus gallus (chicken) is the source of this 332-nucleotide long non-coding RNA. The record is from Ensembl. NCBI's taxonomy places the organism in Eukaryota, Metazoa, Chordata, Aves, Galliformes, Phasianidae.
GGUUUUUGUACAAAAUACUAGUGAGAGGAGAAACCAAGGAAGGUGCCAGUGAACUUCUUCAGCAGAUGAGGUAGAGGAAAACCUCUGGUGUAUAGCAAGAUCAUCAAUGAGGAGAUAUGAACUGGAGGAGCAAAAUGGGUUCUGAGGUGGUGAGGAAGGCUGGUGAGUUGACCAGGGAAAGGUUGACCAGCAUUCAAGUUGCAUCAGCAUUGCUAAGUGCAGUUACAGAGCAACUGUGGUUAGAAAAAGGAGUUUCUUGCUGGGAGCACACAGGUGCCGAGCUGAAGAGUAGUGCCAGGCCAGAGAGAACUACAUUAUUACUUCUGCUGGAG